CUAAAGAUCUUAUUUAUCUAACUU
This 24-nucleotide non-coding RNA is filed under the name Arabidopsis thaliana (thale cress). The record is from RNAcentral. Lineage: Eukaryota; Viridiplantae; Streptophyta; Magnoliopsida; Brassicales; Brassicaceae.